This 391-nucleotide ribosomal RNA is filed under the name uncultured bacterium. Its description in RNAcentral is "partial 16S ribosomal RNA". It matches the Rfam family "Bacterial small subunit ribosomal RNA", at positions 338 to 743 of the family's 1533-position model. The record is from RNAcentral.
CCUACGGUAGGCAGCAGUGGUGAAUAUUUGGCAAUGGGCUCAAGCCUGACCCAGCAACGCAGCGUUAAGGAAGAAGGCUUUCUGGUUGUUAACUUCUUUUCUCAGGGGCGAAGAACGUGACAGUCCCUGAGGACUACGCCACGGCUAACUACGUGCCCGCAGCCGCGGGAAUACGUAAGUGGCAAGCGUUCUCCGGAUUUACUGGGUGUACAGGGCGUGUAGGCGUGAGAGCAAGUCAGAUGUGAAAACCAUGGGCUCAACCGGGGGCCUGAAUUUGAAACUGUGGUGUUUGGGGAAUGGCGAGGCAGCAGGAAUGGGUGGUGAAGCGGUGAAAGGAGUAGAUACGAGGAGGAACACGAGUGGAGAAGGCGGUCGGCGGGACGGGAACUGA